GAGACUCUGUGCGCGUGCAUAUCAAUAAGCGGAGGAAAAGAAACUAACUAGGAUUCCCUCAGUAACGGCGAGUGAAGCGGGAAGAGCUCAAAUUUGAAAUCUUCAAGGUUCUACCUUGACGAAUUGUAGUUUGUAGAAGUGUUUUCUGUUAGUGGAGUGGCAAAAGUUCUUUGGAAUAGGACAUCAUAGAGGGUGAGAAUCCCGUAUUUGGUCAUUCCUCCUAGCGUUGUGAUACACUUUCAACGAGUCGGAUUGUUUGGGAAUGCAGUCCAAAAUGGGUGGUAAAUUUCAUCUAAAGCUAAAUAUUGGCGAGAGACCGAUAGCGAACGAGUACCGUGAGGGAAAGAUGAAAAGAACUUUGAAAAGAGAGUUAAACAGUACGUGAAAUUGUCAAAAGGGAAGCGUUUGACACCAGUGUUGUUUAGUUGAAAAUCAAUUCAAUAGUUUUUGAUUCUAAGUAGUAUUGACUUCAUCAGCUUGCUGCUUUCUUCUCAGAAAUUAUUGAAUGCACUUUUCAGUUAACAAGUCAACAUCAAUUUCUUUUGUUGUAAAAGGGUAAGAGGAAGGUGGCUUGCGCUUCGGCUCAAGUGUUUAUAGCCUUUUAUCUCUGCAAUCGGAGAGAUUGAGGUCUGCAGCGUAGAUCCUUCGGGGUUAGAUACAUUGGUGCUAAGCUAUAGCCUUGUAUAGACAACUUGUUGACUAUGCUCAGUCAUGUAGCUUACUCGCUGAUGCUAUUUUACCUACGCUUAGGAUGUUGAAGAUGUAGCACAUCAU
This 774-nucleotide ribosomal RNA is filed under the name uncultured Neocallimastigales. RNAcentral describes it as "partial large subunit ribosomal RNA". It matches the Rfam family "Eukaryotic large subunit ribosomal RNA", at positions 23 to 635 of the family's 3401-position model. Lineage: Eukaryota; Fungi; Neocallimastigomycota; Neocallimastigomycetes; Neocallimastigales. The record is from RNAcentral.